Molecule: non-coding RNA, 1498 nt
Organism: Penaeus vannamei (Pacific white shrimp)
Lineage: Eukaryota; Metazoa; Arthropoda; Malacostraca; Decapoda; Penaeidae
Source: RefSeq, a predicted model, not a curated record
CAUCAGCUGAUCAGUUUCGCGCCAUCUUCGAGAAAGUAAACAGGAAGCAGCCUCUCGCGCUCCUCGGGAUACUUAAUGAACAAGACCUCACUCUUUAAAGUUGGAAAUAAAAAAGGAACUAGAAAUAUCGACGAUGGACGCACAAAUGCUCAAGAAUCUUGCUCAUAAAUUAGGAUUAACGUCGCCAAAAGUUGUGAGGAAAGCAGAGGAACUGAUACGGCUCUUGCAGUGCAGGGAGGUACCGGCCUGGCACUUAGCAUGUCAGGGAAGGCGGUCAUUUGCCUGGAAAUUGCUGCAACUCUUGCUUCUUGCUCUUUUGAUAAGACCCUUGCUGUGCGACUCUCAGGACUGACAAGACCUCAGUAUGUAGCAUCUAGUCAGACAGUGUCCGCCUGUUGAAUGUCUCCUCAAGUGUGUGUGUGGCUGACCUCUGUGUCACCCACUCAGCGACUGCAGCAAGGGAUCUGGCAGCAAAAGUGCUCAAGCAGUAUGAAACAGAAAACAAGAUAAAGGGGCAGGUAGACAUAGCUUUACCAGUGUACCAGACAGCUGCUGUUAUUGCUGCAUGCAAAGUAAUGAAAAUUAAGGUGGACAAGAGGCGCAUGUUUGAAACAAGUCGUAGCAAGAGAGCAGUCUAUGACAAGUGGUUGAGGGCAUGACUAAAAUUGCUGAAUCUCUGCAUGCAGAAAAGGCAUCAAAGAGUGGUGGCACCAAGAGAGGCAAGACCUUAAUGGAUAUGGUAGAGGAAAACCUGCGGAAUGAAUCUCCCGAGAAAAAGUUGAAGGUGGAAGAAGAGGAAAAGGACGACAAUGCAAAUGACAAAGAAGCAGAUUUCGAGGAAUGGAAGAGAAAGAUCCUAGAAGCUGCAGCCGCAGCAGAAUAGCAAUAUAUAUGUAUACUUAUAUAUGUAUAUACAUUUUAAUGGUUUUAGCUAUAUACAUUUUUUAUAUGCUUGAUAGAUGUUCUAUCAUGGUGUCUGUGGUAUUGCUGCUUAUAUGAUGACAUUUUCUUUUGAUGGAUAAAACUAUUUUUCUCAUUGUCAUUAUUCAUUUUAUUGUAGCCAUCUUUUGGUUAGGUCUUUUUAUGAUGAUAAAUGCAUACUGUGCUGCAUUGUGAUUAGCUAAAUUUACCAUGAAAAAUGUCUGUAUUGCAUAGGAAUACAUGCUUUUAUGUUUUUGCAAAUAUGUCUUCUAAAUUGGGACCCAAAAGAAUUUUUCUUUCUGUCUUGUUUUAGUAUUUUUUGCAUUUUUAUAGAAUUUUAUGGCCUAUUUUCAUGUAUUGAUUUUGAACAGAUGGACAUAGCUUUUUAUUCAGUUCAGAUUAUGAUAUGAACAAUUGAAAUUUAGUUUGGAAUAUUUUUUUUCUAGCUUUAUCACGUCAUGAUUUCAUACAAAUUUUCUACAUGUUAGUUAACUGCAGACAGCAGUUAUAUAUAUAUUUUUUUCUUUUUUACCUUUGACUUUGUAUUGUCAUGCAAGUUAAAUACAUGAAAUUUUUA